GACGAACGCUGGCGGCGUGCCUAAUACAUGCAAGUUGAGCGCUGAAGGUUGGUACUUGUACCAACUGGAUGAGCAGCGAACGGGUGAGUAACGCGUGGGGAAUCUGCCUUUGAGCGGGGGACAACAUUUGGAAACGAAUGCUAAUACCGCAUAAAAACUUUAAACACAAGUUUUAAGUUUGAAAGAUGCAAUUGCAUCACUCAAAGAUGAUCCCGCGUUGUAUUAGCUAGUUGGUGAGGUAAAGGCUCACCAAGGCGAUGAUACAUAGCCGACCUGAGAGGGUGAGCGGCCACAUUGGGACUGAGACACGGCACAAACGCCUACAGGAGGCAGCAGUAGGGAAUCUUCGGCAAUGGACGAAAGUCUGACCGAGCAACGCCGCGUGAGUGAAGAAGGUUGUCGGAUCGUAAAACUCUGUUGGUAGAGAAGAACGUUGGUGAGAGUGGAAAGCUCAUCAAGUGACGGUAACUACCCAGAAAGGGACGGCUAACUACGUG
RNAcentral lists this ribosomal RNA (497 nucleotides) under uncultured bacterium. RNAcentral's name for it is "partial 16S ribosomal RNA". It matches the Rfam family "Bacterial small subunit ribosomal RNA", at positions 28 to 507 of the family's 1533-position model. The record is from RNAcentral.